This 379-nucleotide RNase P RNA is filed under the name Leucobacter weissii. Its description in RNAcentral is "Bacterial RNase P class A". It matches the Rfam family "Bacterial RNase P class A". Rfam says of the family: Ribonuclease P (RNase P) is a ubiquitous endoribonuclease, found in archaea, bacteria and eukarya as well as chloroplasts and mitochondria. Its best characterised activity is the generation of mature 5'-ends of tRNAs by cleaving the 5'-leader elements of precursor-tRNAs. The record is from Rfam by way of RNAcentral. Lineage: Bacteria; Bacillati; Actinomycetota; Actinomycetes; Micrococcales; Microbacteriaceae.
UGGGUCGGUGAGACGAUCGCGUCGCGCGUCGCUUCGGCGGCUGCGCGCCGAGGAACGUCCGGGCUGCGCAGAGGAGAACGGUGGGUAACACCCACCCGGGGCAACCCGCGAGAAAGUGCAACAGAGAGCAGACCAGCCAUCCCGGCUCCGUCGGGAUGGUCCGGGUGAAAGGGUGGUGUAAGAGACCACCGGCGUCCGUGGUGACACGGGCGGCCAGGCAAACCUCGUUCGCAGCAAGGCCAGACAGAAGACGAUGACGCUCCUCGCCGAGUCUUCGGGUGGGCUGCUAGAGGGCGUCGGCAACGGCGUCCCGAGAGAGAUGAUCGUCGCCCCGCCCCCGGGCGGGGAACAGAACCCGGCGUAUGAUCCGGCCCAUUCC